This 1717-nucleotide long non-coding RNA is filed under the name Gallus gallus (chicken). Its description in RNAcentral is "lncRNA (ENSGALG00010017432.1)". The record is from RNAcentral. Lineage: Eukaryota; Metazoa; Chordata; Aves; Galliformes; Phasianidae.
CAAGAGCAAGAAGUCAAAGCAGUGCUCUCCACCUGAAUGACUGAGAGCAAUUAACCAGUCUUUAAUGGUGGACAAGAAGCACCUGGUCAGUGGGCUGGGACCUUCUUGGGGGCUCAGGUGUAGGCAGCUCAUGGUUAGCUCAUGGUUAAAGGAAGAACUGUGCACCUCCUGCUAGCUCCUGGUACUUCCUAGUGCUGAUGUUAGUGCUACAGUGCUGUUUUAGAAGACUGUCGCUUACGGGAAGGAUCUGACAAAGUUAGAUGAGUCCAAAGUUCUCAGGGCUUCAUUUUCCUGCAUGUGGGCUCCAUCCAAAAGUGCACAGGAAAGUGGCAUUUGAGAUUGAAGGUAAAGGUUGAGACAGUAUUGACCUGUCCCACACAGUGACUGGAUCUGUCUACCUUACUUAAGCUUGUUGGUAGUCUUCAGCAUUAACUGUAACUUCACUUAGGAAAGAAGGGUCACAGAUCUGCCAUGUCAACAAAACAGAUGGGAGUCUCCUGUGGUAACACCGUGCCCCGGGAACAGAUAUGGUUCCAUCUGGAUUCUGAGGCUGUGAACAACUUUUGAGGUCUUGGCAGACAAUGGAACACAUAUCUCACCUGACGAAAGUGGAGAUCUGUCUGUUCCUUGGGUUCUGUGGCUUCUGUGAGGAAACUGGGAUGGCUGGUUUGAGGAUAAAUCUGGGAUGAAGUCAAUAACAGCUCAUUUGAGCACAUUCCCCAGACAGUCUACAUUCUCUUCUUCAAGAUUUCCGCAUCAGUAAGAUCCAGUGCUAGUGGGAUAGCAAAAGGAGCUGGAGGAGAGAACAGGCUCUUAGGAGGUGUUCAGAGCCAAAGGAACUGGAAGUGAGAAAUUGCACCUUUUAAUUGCAUGUUAGCAAUUGCCAUGGUUUUUCGCUGUGCUGUUGGUGAAAUGGGAAAAGACAUGGCCAAAGUUGUUCUGGAGAGUUAGGCACAAGUGAAGACAGAAGAAAGGUAAGCAGGAGACAGCAGUGUGCUCAAAUGUUUCCUGGAAAAUGUGUGUGCAGAAAGAAGGAAGCAAGGAGACAGCAGAGGGCAGAACAAAAGACAAGCUGUGAUGCGUGAGGAGGAAACAUUUUCGGAAAAACCAACUCAUACAAGAGCUUAAAAUCCAAACGGUCCCUUCUCCUUGUGGAUGCUGAAGAGGUUGGGGUAUUUACUGAUGUUGGGGUAGAUUUCAUGGUGACAGCGUCCAUAAUUCCAUGGCAGGAGCUCUGAACUGAUUUCUCUUUCACAGCCUCAUGCACACACAAAAAAGUUGGUGUAGACCACUCCUACUUCUCUGAGGAACCAUGGAGAAGAGGGCUGUCGGUCUCUGCCAAGCUCCUGAGUCCUGCAAUCUUUGUUGUACCUGGUCUUUUUGUAGACCACAAAGGGUUGUUUUUUUCUUCUCAUAUCUGUGUAUCUCUGUGUUGCCUGGCACAACUGAGAAUCCCUGACAUACAUGGCUCCGUGUCAAAGAUUCUUUUCUGCUUCAUAUGGAAGAUGAUUCUCUGUAAGAAUAAGUGGCAAUGUACUGUAUUUGCAUCUUAUCAGCCACUUCUGACUUGAGGUUGUAAUAAUGGAACUUUUAUGAUGCAAAUUGCUACAUGGAAGGUCCAUAGAAAAUCAAUUGCUAGAUAUUUUAACAUCUUGUUUAAAAUAAAAAUUAUUUCAGAAAGUUUAUAACACUGCCAAGGAGCUACUUUUUAAUGCAG